AUACGUAGGUGGCAAGCGUUGUCCGGAUUUACUGGGCGUAAAGGGAGCGUAGGUGGAUAUUUAAGUGGGAUGUGAAAUACUCGGGCUUAACCUGGGUGCUGCAUUCCAAACUGAAUAUCUAGAGUGCAGGAGAGGAAAGUAGAAUUCCUAGUGUAGCGGUGAAAUGCGUAGAGAUUAGGAAGAAUACCAGUGGCGAAGGCGGCUUUCUGGACUGUAACUGACACUGAGGCUCGAAAGCGUGGGGAGCAAACAGG
This 254-nucleotide ribosomal RNA is filed under the name uncultured prokaryote. Its description in RNAcentral is "partial 16S ribosomal RNA". It matches the Rfam family "Bacterial small subunit ribosomal RNA", at positions 523 to 776 of the family's 1533-position model. The record is from RNAcentral.